RNAcentral lists this non-coding RNA (24 nucleotides) under Arabidopsis thaliana (thale cress). The record is from RNAcentral. Lineage: Eukaryota; Viridiplantae; Streptophyta; Magnoliopsida; Brassicales; Brassicaceae.
AGGAACGUGAUGGUGGCUCGUCCA